RNAcentral lists this ribosomal RNA (1255 nucleotides) under Curtobacterium sp. MG-2011-13-CA. RNAcentral's name for it is "partial 16S ribosomal RNA". The record is from RNAcentral. Lineage: Bacteria; Bacillati; Actinomycetota; Actinomycetes; Micrococcales; Microbacteriaceae.
ACCCGGCUUUUUGGGAUUCGCUCCCACCUUACGGGUAUCGCAGCCCUUUGUACCGGCCCAUUGUAGCAUGCGUGAAGCCCAAGACAUAAAGGGGCAUGAUGAUUUGACGUCAUCCCCACCCUCCUCCGAGUUGACCCCGGCAGUCUCCUAUGAGUCCCCGCCAUAACGCGCUGGCAACAUAGAACGAGGGUUGCGCUCGUUGCGGGACUUAACCCAACAUCUCACGACACGAGCUGACGACAACCAUGCACCACCUGUACACCGACCACAAGGGGGCAACCAUCUCUGGCCGUUUCCGGUGUAUGUCAAGCCUUGGUAAGGUUCUUCGCGUUGCAUCGAAUUAAUCCGCAUGCUCCGCCGCUUGUGCGGGCCCCCGUCAAUUCCUUUGAGUUUUAGCCUUGCGGCCGUACUCCCCAGGCGGGGCGCUUAAUGCGUUAGCUACGACACAGAAACCGUGGAAAGGUCCCUACAUCUAGCGCCCAACGUUUACGGCGUGGACUACCAGGGUAUCUAAUCCUGUUCGCUCCCCACGCUUUCGCUCCUCAGCGUCAGUUACGGCCCAGAGAUCUGCCUUCGCCAUCGGUGUUCCUCCUGAUAUCUGCGCAUUCCACCGCUACACCAGGAAUUCCAAUCUCCCCUACCGCACUCUAGUCUGCCCGUACCCACUGCAAGCCCGAGGUUGAGCCUCGGGAUUUCACAGCAGACGCGACAAACCGCCUACGAGCUCUUUACGCCCAAUAAUUCCGGACAACGCUUGCACCCUACGUAUUACCGCGGCUGCUGGCACGUAGUUAGCCGGUGCUUUUUCUGCAGGUACCGUCACUUACGCUUCUUCCCUACUAAAAGAGGUUUACAACCCGAAGGCCGUCAUCCCUCACGCGGCGUUGCUGCAUCAGGCUUUCGCCCAUUGUGCAAUAUUCCCCACUGCUGCCUCCCGUAGGAGUCUGGGCCGUGUCUCAGUCCCAGUGUGGCCGGUCACCCUCUCAGGCCGGCUACCCGUCGUCGCCUUGGUGAGCCAUUACCUCACCAACAAGCUGAUAGGCCGCGAGUCCAUCCCCAACCAAAAAAUCUUUCCACCACCAGACCAUGCGGCCGGCAGUCAUAUCCAGUAUUAGACGUCGUUUCCAACGCUUAUCCCAGAGUCAGGGGCAGGUUACUCACGUGUUACUCACCCGUUCGCCACUAAUCCACCCAGCAAGCUGGGCAUCAUCGUUCGACUUGCAUGUGUUAAGCACGCCGCCAGCGUUCGUCCUGA